CCGCCAGCGACUCUGCAGCGGGACCCCCGCGGGGGGCCGUGCCCCCCCACUCUGCCGGGGGAGGGGGUAGCGUGGGGGGCCCCCAUGGGAGACCGUGCCCCCCCGUGACGCAAGCGAACCUCAACGUCGUCUCGGUCGCUGUGGGGGCACUCACAGACACCUCUCACGACUGUGUGGAUGUGGGGGGACCGCCAAUCUCCUGUGUUCGUUGUUCCGCCUUCCUGUCCUCAAUCAGCCGCAUAGCGGACAACCCCAACGGUGACACGGUGUGGAGCUGCGAGUUCUGUGCGUGCCCCAACCUGCUGGACCUGCGCUACAACCCGGUGCCCCCCAAGGUGACGUCACCUUCAGGGGGGGGGCCCCCGGGGGGGGGCGCACCGGGGGGCCUCCCCCCC
Long non-coding RNA from Lethenteron reissneri (Far Eastern brook lamprey), 395 nucleotides. RefSeq lists it as uncharacterized. NCBI's taxonomy places the organism in Eukaryota, Metazoa, Chordata, Hyperoartia, Petromyzontiformes, Petromyzontidae. The record is from RefSeq and is a predicted model, not a curated record.